Molecule: ribosomal RNA, 497 nt
Filed under: uncultured bacterium
Lineage: Bacteria
Description: partial 16S ribosomal RNA
Rfam family: Bacterial small subunit ribosomal RNA
Source: RNAcentral
GAUGAACGCUGGCGGCGUGCCUAAUACAUGCAAGUCGAGCGAACAGACGAGGAGCUUGCUCCUCUGACGUUAGCGGCGGACGGGUGAGUAACACGUGGAUAACCUACCUAUAAGACUGGGAUAACUUCGGGAAACCGGAUCUAAUACCGGAUAAUAUAUUGAACCGCAUGGUUCAAUAGUGAAAGACGGUUUUGCUGUCACUUAUAGAUGGAUCCGCGCCGCAUUAGCUAGUUGGUAAGGUAACGGCUUACCAAGGCAACGAUGCGUAGCCGACCUGAGAGGGUGAUCGGCCACACUGGAACUGGGACACGGACCAGACUCCUAAGGGAGGCAGCAGUAGGGAAUCUUCCGCAAUGGGCGAAAGCCUGACGGAGCAACGCCGCGUGAGUGAUGAAGGUCUUCGGAUCGUAAAACUCUGUUAUUAGGGAAGAACAAAUGUGUAAGUAACUAUGCACGUCUUGACGGUAACUAAUCAGAAAGCAACGGCUAACUACGUG